GUGGGGAAUUUUGGACAAUGGGGGCAACCCUGAUCCAGCAAUGCCGCGUGCAGGAAGAAGGCCUUCGGGUUGUAAACUGCUUUUGUACGGAACGAAACGGUCCUGGUUAAUACCUGGGGCUAAUGACGGUACCGUAAGAAUAAGCACCGGCUAACUACGUGCCAGCAGCCGCGGUAAUACGUAGGGUGCAAGCGUUAAUCGGAAUUACUGGGCGUAAAGCGUGCGCAGGCGGUUUUGUAAGACAGGCGUGAAAUCCCCGGGCUCAACCUGGGAAUGGCGCUUGUGACUGCAAGGCUGGAGUGCGGCAGAGGGGGAUGGAAUUCCGCGUGUAGCAGUGAAAUGCGUAGAUAUGCGGAGGAACACCGAUGGCGAAGGCAAUCCCCUGGGCCUGCACUGACGCUCAUGCACGAAAGCGUGGGGAGCAAACAGGAUUAGAAACCCUAGUAGUCC
Molecule: ribosomal RNA, 450 nt
Filed under: uncultured bacterium
Lineage: Bacteria
Description: partial 16S ribosomal RNA
Rfam family: Bacterial small subunit ribosomal RNA
Source: RNAcentral